UUACUGAAGUUUGGAUUGCUAUCUUGAUACUGUAAACCUGCAAUAAGUGGCAAUGUCAAGGGUUCCCACCCCACCUCCUCCUGGGGAGAUGUCCAGUGGACCUGUGGCUGAAAGCUGGUGUUACACACAGGUUAAAGUAGUAAAAUUUUCCUACAUGUGGACCAUUAAUAACUUCAGUUUUUGCCGAGAAGAAAUGGGUGAAGUUUUAAAGAGUUCUACCUUUUCAUCAGGGCCAAAUGAUAAAAUGAAGUGGUGCCUGAGAGUGAAUCCAAAGGGAUUAGACGAUGAAAGCAAAGACUACCUGUCAUUAUAUUUGCUUUUAGUCAGUUGUCCAAAAAGUGAAGUCAGAGCAAAAUUCAAAUUUUCCCUGCUGAAUGCUAAAAGAGAAGAAACAAAAGCAAUGGAAAGCCAAAGAGCAUAUCGAUUUGUGCAAGGCAAGGACUGGGGUUUUAAGAAAUUCAUCCGAAGAGAUUUUUUACUGGAUGAAGCUAAUGGUCUUCUACCAGAUGACAAGCUCACGUUAUUUUGUGAGGUAAGCGUGGUCCAAGACUCAGUAAAUAUAUCAGGACAGUCUAAUACAAACACUUUGAAGGUACCUGAAUGUCGACUAGCAGAAGAUUUAGGGAAUCUCUGGGAAACAACAAGAUUUACAGAUUGCAGUUUUUAUGUAGGAGGACAAGAAUUCAAAGCUCAUAAAUCUGUCCUUGCAGCACGAUCUCCAGUUUUUAAUGCAAUGUUUGAACAUGAAAUGGAGGAAAGCAAAAAGAAUCGUGUAGAAAUAAAUGAUGUAGACCCUGAAGUUUUUAAAGAAAUGAUGAGAUUCAUUUACACAGGAAAAGCACCAAACCUUGAAAAAAUGGCUGACAAUUUGUUGGCAGCUGCAGACAAAUAUGCACUGGAACGGCUGAAGGUCAUGUGUGAGGAAGCACUCUGUAGUAACCUCUCGGUAGAAAAUGUUGCUGACAUUCUUAUCCUCGCAGAUUUGCACAGCGCUGAACAGUUAAAAGCACAAGCAAUAGACUUUAUUAACAGGUGCAGUGUUCUUAGACAACUUGGGUGUAAAGAUGGGAAAAACUGGAAUAGCAAGUAAGUUUCCCUGCCUCGCGAUGUUCUGUACAAACACUGCUAAAUAGACUGCAGAUCUUAAGAACUGUUGCUUCAUUUCCACACUACUGAGGCCAGUCACUGACUCCAAGCAACAGACAUAAUGGAAACAGCAGGCUGGAAGUCCAUGAUCCACUCCCACCCUCACUUAGUAGCAGAGGCCUUUCGCGCACUAGCAUCUGCACAGUGUCCACAGUUUGGCAUUCCACGCAAACGGCUAAAACAGUCAUGAAAUCUUCCAUGAACUUUAGAGAAAUUGAAUUGACUCUACUCCUCCAUGUCCAGAGGUGUUUUCACAAACCAUAACAAGAGUUUUUGUUAUCCUUGUCCACAGAACAGAAGCUGAAAAAGCCUAUUGUUUGCUUUUCAGAUGGAUAAUUUAUGGUUUAAUCCUCAGCUUUAAAUUAGACUGAUUACUCUAAUUCACUGAAAGGCCUUAAAUUAUCUUCAAUGACUCUCUAGUCCAUAUAGUCUAAUGUAUCUUGAUUUUUUUAUUAUUAUUUUUUAAUGUGCCUUGUCUUUUUGACUAGGCUCUGCAGGAUUGCACUAGCUCCAUAAUGCAGUAAAGUUGAUAACUGAAGAUUAAUUUUUGAAAGGGAUCUUCCAUUAUUUUCA
Haliaeetus leucocephalus (bald eagle) is the source of this 1719-nucleotide RNA transcript. It is a transcript of the gene named speckle-type POZ protein-like, with no coding region annotated. NCBI's taxonomy places the organism in Eukaryota, Metazoa, Chordata, Aves, Accipitriformes, Accipitridae. The transcript is spliced from 10 exons. The record is from RefSeq and is a predicted model, not a curated record.